UACGGAGGAUCCAAGCGUUAUCCGGAUUUAUUGGGUUUAAAGGGUGCGUAGGCGGAGUAAUAAGUCAGUGGUGAAAUCUCCCAGCUCAACUGGGAAACUGCCAUUGAUACUGUUAUUCUUGAGUUUGGUUGAAGUAGGCGGAAUGAGGCAUGUAGCGGUGAAAUGCAUAGAUAUGCCUCAGAACACCGAUUGCGAAGGCAGCUUACUAAGCCACGACUGACGCUGAGGCACGAAAGCGUGGGGAGCGAACAGG
This 253-nucleotide unclassified non-coding RNA is filed under the name uncultured Cryomorphaceae bacterium. RNAcentral describes it as "contains 16S-23S intergenic spacer region". It matches the Rfam family "Bacterial small subunit ribosomal RNA", at positions 524 to 776 of the family's 1533-position model. The record is from RNAcentral. Lineage: Bacteria; Pseudomonadati; Bacteroidota; Flavobacteriia; Flavobacteriales; Cryomorphaceae.